AGUUGAUCAUGGCUCAGGAUGAACGCUAGCUACAGGCUUAACACAUGCAAGUCGAGGGAAACGACAUCGAAAGCUUGCUUUUGAUGGGCGUCGACCGGCGCACGGGUGAGUAACGCGUAUCCAACCUACCCUUGUCCAUCGGAUAACCCGUCGAAAGGCGGCCUAACACGAUAUGCGGUUCUCAGCAGGCAUCUAAGGUGAACGAAAUGUGAAGGAGAAGGAUGGGGAUGCGUCUGAUUAGCUUGUUGGCGGGGUAACGGCCCACCAAGGCGACGAUCAGUAGGGGUUCUGAGAGGAAGGUCCCCCACAUUGGAACUGAGACACGGUCCAAACUCCUACGGGAGGCAGCAGUGAGGAAUAUUGGUCAAUGGGCGAGAGCCUGAACCAGCCAAGUAGCGUGCAGGAUGACGGCCCUAUGGGUUGUAAACUGCUUUUAUAAGGGAAUAAAGUGGGUCUCGUGAGACUUUUUGCAUGUACCUUAUGAAUAAGGACCGGCUAAUUCCGUG
RNAcentral lists this ribosomal RNA (506 nucleotides) under uncultured bacterium. Its description in RNAcentral is "bacterial SSU rRNA". It matches the Rfam family "Bacterial small subunit ribosomal RNA", at positions 10 to 507 of the family's 1533-position model. The record is from RNAcentral.